Molecule: ribosomal RNA, 586 nt
Filed under: Rhodotorula mucilaginosa
Lineage: Eukaryota; Fungi; Basidiomycota; Microbotryomycetes; Sporidiobolales; Sporidiobolaceae
Description: eukaryotic LSU rRNA
Rfam family: 5.8S ribosomal RNA (bases 154-307)
Source: RNAcentral
GGGCGUGCGAUCGGACGUCACUUACUUGGAGUCCGAACUCUCACUUUCUAACCCUGUGCACUUGUUUGGGAUAGUAACUCUCGCAAGAGAGCGAACUCCUAUUCACUUAUAAACACAAAGUCUAUGAAUGUAUUAAAUUUUAUAACAAAAUAAAACUUUCAACAACGGAUCUCUUGGCUCUCGCAUCGAUGAAGAACGCAGCGAAAUGCGAUAAGUAAUGUGAAUUGCAGAAUUCAGUGAAUCAUCGAAUCUUUGAACGCACCUUGCGCUCCAUGGUAUUCCGUGGAGCAUGCCUGUUUGAGUGUCAUGAAUACUUCAACCCUCCUCUUUCUUAAUGAUUGAAGAGGUGUUUGGUUUCUGAGCGCUGCUGGCCUUUACGGUCUAGCUCGUUCGUAAUGCAUUAGCAUCCGCAAUCGAACUUCGGAUUGACUUGGCGUAAUAGACUAUUCGCUGAGGAAUUCUAGUCUUCGGAUUAGAGCCGGGUUGGGUUAAAGGAAGCUUCUAAUCAGAAUGUCUACAUUUUAAGAUUAGAUCUCAAAUCAGGUAGGACUACCCGCUGAACUUAAGCAUAUCAAUAAGCGGAGGA